GAGUUUGAUCUUGGCUCAGAUUGAACGCUGGCGGCAUGCCUUACACAUGCAAGUCGAACGGCAGCACGGGAGCUUGCUCCUGGUGGCGAGUGGCGAACGGGUGAGUAAUGCAUCGGAACGUAUCCUGGAGUGGGGGAUAACGUAGCGAAAGUUACGCUAAUACCGCAUAUUCUGUGAGCAGGAAAGCGGGGGACCUUCGGGCCUCGCGCUCUUGGAGCGGCCGAUGUCGGAUUAGCUAGUUGGUGAGGUAAAGGCUCACCAAGGCGACGAUCCGUAGCAGGUCUGAGAGGAUGAUCUGCCACACUGGAACUGAGACACGGUCCAGACCCUACGGGAGGCAGCAGUGGGGAAUUUUGGACAAUGGGGGCAACCCUGAUCCAGCCAUGCCGCGUGAGUGAAGAAGGCCUUCGGUU
This 413-nucleotide ribosomal RNA is filed under the name bacterium enrichment culture clone ALO1_GLFRUDD03G85I9. Its description in RNAcentral is "bacterial SSU rRNA". It matches the Rfam family "Bacterial small subunit ribosomal RNA", at positions 9 to 423 of the family's 1533-position model. The record is from RNAcentral.